UAGUAGACAUUGCCACCCAAGCUCACCAAUAUCUUUCUCAUAGCCCAGUCCUUCACAGUCUUAUUUCUCAGGAAAAAAAUAAAAUAAAAAGUAAAAAGAAAAGGAAAUUCUGUGUUCCGGCGCGGGAAAAUCGCACCGGCGAAGUGUGCAGAUUGGUCGAGCAGAGGCUCCUGAGCUUGGAGCUUGGAGUUGCAUGGUUUGGGUUUGACAGAGAGUGGAGUGUGGGAAAAGCUGAGGUGGACAGUGAGGGAGCGAGUUCAUUGAGCUGUGCUGUGGUGACUCAGUGAGCCUUUUUCAAAAAAUGUCUUUCCAACCCAAAAGUUUGUGGACUCCAAGAGAUUCUAGCUGUCUAACUGAUGGAGAGAUGGGUUAUGAUAAUUCUUCCAGAUUAGAUUCAAAGCGUGGUCACCAGUGGUUUAUGGAUUCCAAUGGGCCGAAGCUCUUCAACAACAAGAAGCAAACAAUGGAGGCUGUUAAUGGCAGGCCAGUUUCAGGAGUUCCACAUUUGGCUAUUUCGCCGUGGGAAAAUACUUCAGGGUUUCAGUCAGUUCCAGGGCAAUUCUCUGAUCGGCGUUUCGGAUCUGAGCCAGUACGGCCAGUCAACCCAGGUGAGAGGAACAUUCAAUCUGUUGGAAAUGGACAUAUGAAUUUGGGAAGAAAGGGUUUUGAGAAUCAAUAUCGAAAUGAUCCGUCAGUGGGUUUGUCAAUGUCUAACUCUAUCGAAGACCAAUCAUCAUGUCUCAGUUUUGGUGGACUCAGAAAAGUUAAGGUCAAUGAAGUUAGGGACUCUGAGAACAUCAUGUCUGCGUCAAUGGGGCACUCCUACAUUAGAGGAGACAACAAUACAAUUUCAGUGAGUACUGCAUAUAAUAAGAGCAAUGACAACACCAUAUCUUUGGGUCCGACUUAUAAUAAUGGCGAAGAGAACGGAAUCUCAAUAGGCUGCCUUUAAUAAAGCAGAUGACAACUUCAUUUCAAUGGGUCACGCCUACAGUAAGGGAAAUGGGAAUUUCAUAUCGAUGGCGCAAAAUUAUAACAAGGGCAACAAUGGUAACUUAUCAAUGGGUCCGCCCUUUGCCAAGGAGGAUGGAAGUUUUAUAUCAAUAGGCCAGUCAUGUGAAAAGGGAGAGGGCAGUUUCAUAUCAUUAGGUAGAUCCUACAACAAAGGUGAUGAGAAUUUUAUUUCUAUGGGUGCAACAUAUGGUAAAGCAAACGAGAAUUUCAUCUCGAUGGCUCCCACCUAUGAUAAGCAGACUGAUAAUAUUACAUCAAUGGGUCCGGCCUAUGACAAGGCUGAUUCGACUGUUGUACCAAUUGGUCCUCCCUUUGAUAAAGGAGUUACCAAUUCUAUGUGUCAUAAUUACAAUAAGAAUGACAGCACCCAUCUCUUUUGGAAGUUUCCAUGAUGAACCCGAGACAAAUCCUUCUGGCGGGAUCAUCAACAACUAUGAUUUGCUGACGAGUAGUCAGAACACGGCUCAGCAGUCAGAAGAACUUGGCCUGAAGGAUCCAGUUCAGUCACAUACAGAUCCAAAUGUAGGUGAAGCUCUGCAAGUUGAUUCUAAAACUGAUACGGUUCCAAAAAUUAAAGAGCCAAGGACUGCUAGGAAAGCUCCUCCAAACAACUUCCCUUCAAAUGUCAAAAGUUUGUUAUCAACUGGCACGUUUGAUGGUGUUCCAGUGAAUUAUGUUUCCUGGUCCCGGGAGAAAAACCUCAAAGCAACCAUAAAAGGGGCCGGGUAUCUAUGUUCCUGCGAUCAAUGCAAUCACACAAAGUCUCUUAAUGCUUAUGAGUUUGAGCGUCAUGCUGGUGCCAAGACCAAACAUCCCAAUAAUCACAUCUACUUUGAGAACGGAAAGACCAUUUAUGCAGUAGUCCAAGAGCUGAAGAACACUCCUCAGGACAUGCUGUUUGAGGCCAUUCAAACUGUGACAGGGUCUCCUAUUAAUCAGAAGAAUUUCCGCAUCUGGAAAGCAUCAUAUCAAGCCGCAACCCGAGAACUUCAGCGUAUCUAUGGAAAAGAUGAAACUGCUGUACCUUCUUGACAUCGGAAUUUUCCUCAUCAACUUGUUAGGGGGUUAAAUUGAGAUGUGAUCAUGCAUGGCAGCAAUGCAGCGUACAGAUUAUAGUAAAUUACUAAGUUAUAGACACCUCGAUUUGAAUACUGCAUUUGGUGGAUGGUUUACAGGUAUUUCGCCGUUUGAAACAGUUCAUAUAAAAAUAGAAUUUUGGAUUUUGGACAGUUUAUUAUCUGUUACUUGAUAUUGUGUGAACGUUUGUUUUGCUCUCUGAAAAAUGUUUUGAAGUAACCAUGCUGAGUUGGCCGCUUUCCAAUUGAAGAAGCAUUGUCUUCAGGCUGAUAGAUGAUGCAGCCUCUCUGUGGAGGCUAACUAUUGUUUAUGUUGGUUAUCUUAGUCUUGCCAUUAAUUAAAUAAAUUUGAGGUUCA
This is an RNA transcript of Pyrus x bretschneideri (Chinese white pear), 2448 nucleotides long. RefSeq lists it as uncharacterized. The record is from RefSeq and is a predicted model, not a curated record. NCBI's taxonomy places the organism in Eukaryota, Viridiplantae, Streptophyta, Magnoliopsida, Rosales, Rosaceae. The transcript has 7 exons.